GGCGCAGGCGGCCUGGUAAGUCGAAUGUGAAAUCUCCCGGCUUAACUGGGAGGGGUCAUUCGAUACUAUCGAGCUAGAGUGCAACAGGGGAAGGUGGAAUUCCCGGUGUAGUGGUGAAAUGCGUAGAUAUCGGGAGGAACACCAGUGGCGAAGGCGGCCUUCUGGGUUGUUACUGACGCUUAAGCCCGAAAGCGUGGGGAGCAAACAGGAUCAGAUACCCUGGUAGUCCACGCUGUAAACUAUGGACACUGGGUAUGGGGAGUAUCGACCCUCUCCGUGCCGAAGUUAACGCGUUAAGUGUCCGUCUGGGAACUACGGCCGCAAGGCUAAA
This 331-nucleotide ribosomal RNA is filed under the name uncultured bacterium. Its description in RNAcentral is "bacterial SSU rRNA". It matches the Rfam family "Bacterial small subunit ribosomal RNA", at positions 568 to 898 of the family's 1533-position model. The record is from RNAcentral.